Ornithodoros turicata is the source of this 273-nucleotide long non-coding RNA. RefSeq lists it as uncharacterized. The record is from RefSeq and is a predicted model, not a curated record. NCBI's taxonomy places the organism in Eukaryota, Metazoa, Arthropoda, Arachnida, Ixodida, Argasidae. The transcript has 3 exons.
UCUCGUAGUCUCCUGUCGUAAGUGUAACGCAGUGUCCGGCGUUUUUGUGUGAUACUUUGUGUGUGUGUGUCACUUUAUGUGUGACUGACUUCUUUGAGGAUCUCUGUCAUCGCAUGUUUGUGAAAGCAUGGUAUUGCGAGACUUCUCAAGACCGAGAUUGAUACGCAGCAAGCUAGGACAGGUUGUACCCCAAACGCAAGAUUUCAUGAAUACCAGAACAAAAACCGAGAGCGACUGACCCCCCAACGACAUCAAGCACUCUCAGAAAAAAGG